ACGAACGCUGGCGGCGUGCUUAACCCAUGCCAGUCGAACGGAAAGGCCCUGCUUUUGUGGGGUGCUCGAGUGGCGAACGGGUGAGUAACACGUGAGUAACCUGCCCUUGACUUUGGGAUAACUUCAGGAAACUGGGGCUAAUACCGGAUAGGAGCUCCUGCUGCAUGGUGGGGGUUGGAAAGUUUCGGCGGUUGGGGAUGGACUCGCGGCUUAUCAGCUUGUUGGUGGGGUAGUGGCUUACCAAGGCUUUGACGGGUAGCCGGCCUGAGAGGGUGACCGGCCACAUUGGGACUGAGAUACGGCCCAGAGUCCUACGGGAGGCAGCAGUGGGGAAUAUUGCACAAUGGGCGGAAGCCUGAUGCAGCAACGCCGCGUGCGGGAUGACGGCCUUCGGGUUGUAAACCGCUUUCGCCUGUGACGAAGCGUGAGUGACGGUAAUGGGUAAAGAAGCACCGGCUAACUACGUG
RNAcentral lists this ribosomal RNA (467 nucleotides) under uncultured bacterium. RNAcentral's name for it is "partial 16S ribosomal RNA". It matches the Rfam family "Bacterial small subunit ribosomal RNA", at positions 29 to 507 of the family's 1533-position model. The record is from RNAcentral.